UGCAGUGACUAUAGCGAGGAGGAUACACCUGUUCCCAUCCCGAACACAGUAGUUAAGCUCCUUAGCGCCGAUGAUACUUGGAGGGUGACCUCCUGGGAAAUUAGGACGUCGCUGCUU
RNAcentral lists this ribosomal RNA (117 nucleotides) under Eubacteriales Family XIII. Incertae Sedis bacterium. Lineage: Bacteria; Bacillati; Bacillota; Clostridia; Peptostreptococcales; Anaerovoracaceae. The record is from RNAcentral.